This 372-nucleotide long non-coding RNA is filed under the name Fukomys damarensis (Damara mole-rat). RNAcentral's name for it is "lncRNA (ENSFDAG00000022144.1)". Lineage: Eukaryota; Metazoa; Chordata; Mammalia; Rodentia; Bathyergidae. The record is from RNAcentral.
CUCACAGUGUCCCAGUGGCUUAAGGAAUUGACCAUAAGUUGCCAAAGAAAGUCCAACUCCUAGAGAGAAAAGUUGCUGGAGUUGAAAUUCUGAACCUUCUUUUACCAAAACGAUGCUUUGAGAAAACCUCUUCAAAUUGCCCGCCUUUAUUUACUCCUUCAUCCCCACAGUGAUGUCUGUGAGGUGAAGAGGUAACAACACCCAUAAAGUUAAAGGAAGCUCAGCUGAUUCCAUCCGUCCUGAGCCAGAGGGAAGCAACAUGACAAGUGGACCCACUGCAAACAAGGUGGCACCUGGCAUGGGCAGAAAGCUGGUUUGGUUUGAUCUCAGGUAAAUGUGGAGUCUGUUGUUGCCCUCGAAAAUCCCCCUUCC